This is a non-coding RNA of Solanum lycopersicum (tomato), 3498 nucleotides long. The record is from RefSeq and is a predicted model, not a curated record. Lineage: Eukaryota; Viridiplantae; Streptophyta; Magnoliopsida; Solanales; Solanaceae.
CGGAUUUAAUAAACCAUAUGAUACGUCCGGAACUUUUGGUUAGUAGUAAUUCGAGGAUAGCUUCAUGCCGGUUUCGGUCAAGAGAAAUCGCCACCACAGCAAUUGUGAAGAGGUAGACGGAGAAGGCGAAGAAGAAGAAGAGGAGAGAGAAAAUCUGCCGCCGCCGCCAUCACCACCGCCGUCGUCGUCGUCGUCGUUGCGGUGGAGUCUCUUUCUAAAACCCUCAUAGAUUCAUCUAAUCGAGAUCAAUAUUUGUUUGGACAUUGGAUGGAUUGAUUUUGUGUGGCUGAUUAACUGGAUAGUUCAACUACGGAGUAAGGUUUGUUUGAAGUUGUGUGUACGAGCGGAAGAGUGUAAAGAUGGAUUUGGUUGCUAGCUGCAAGGAUAAAUUGGCAUAUUUUCGGAUAAAGGAGCUCAAAGAUGUUCUGAAUCAGCUUGGUCUUUCAAAGCAGGGGAAGAAGCAGGACCUUGUUGAUCGCAUAUUAGCUACACUCUCUGAUGAACGAGCUUCAGGAUUGUUCCCAAAGAGAAACAGUGUUGGGAAGGAAGACGUUGCAAAACUUGUUGAUGACAUUUACAGAAAAAUGCAGGUGUCUGGGGCGACGGGGGCAACUGGGGCAACUGACCUAGCAUCAAAGUCGCAAGUUGUCUCCGAUACCAGUAAUGUGAAGUUGAAGGAGGAGAUUGAAGACACUUACCACAUGAAAAUUCGCUGUGUGUGUACAAGCUCAUUACAAACUGAAACAAUGAUUCAGUGUGAAGACAGAAGAUGUCACACAUGGCAACAUAUUCGUUGUGUUGUCAUACCAGAGAAGCCAAUGGAGGGUGGUGAUCCACCAAUUCCGCCUACUACUUUUUACUGUGAAGUGUGCAGACUGGUUCGUGCUGACCCCUUCUGGGUGACAAUGGGACACCCUUUGUAUCCUGCAAAGUUGGCUAUUACAAGCGUUCCUGCCGAUGGGACGAACCCUGUGCAGAGUAUCGAGAAAACAUUUCAGAUCACUAGAGCUGACAGAGACUUGUUGGCGAAACAGGAAUAUGAUCUCCAGGCUUGGUGCAUGCUUCUCAACGACAAGGUACAAUUUAGAAUGCAGUGGCCUCAAUAUGCAGAUUUGCAGGUGAAUGGGGUUCCAGUGCGCGCGAUAAAUAGACCUGGCUCUCAAUUGCUGGGUGCUAAUGGUCGAGAUGAUGGCCCUAUAAUCACACCAUGCACCAGAGAUGGAAUCAACAAGGUCACAUUAACAGGAUGUGAUGCUCGUGUCUUUUGCUUGGGGGUCAGACUUGUGAAGCGGCGAACUGUUCAGCAGGUUCUUAGUAUGAUACCGAAGGUGUCAGAUGGUGAGAAAUUUGAAGAUGCCCUUGCUCGCGUUCGUCGCUGUGUUGGUGGUGGGACAGCCACGGAAAAUGCUGAUAGUGAUAGUGAUCUGGAAGUUGUUGCUGAUUGUAUUCCUGUCAAUCUUCGCUGCCCUAUGAGUGGUUCAAGGAUGAAAAUUGCUGGAAGAUUCAAACCUUGUAUACACAUGGGCUGCUUUGAUCUUGACGUCUUUGUUGAAAUGAAUCAAAGGUCGAGGAAGUGGCAAUGCCCUAUCUGUCUUAAGAACUACUCUUUGGAGCAUGUUAUCAUAGAUCCAUAUUUCAAUCGAAUUACUUCUCAGAUGCGUAGUUGUGGAGAAGAUGUCACAGAAAUCGAAGUGAAACCUGAUGGUUCUUGGCGCGCGAAGACAGAAUCUGAUCGAAGGAGUCUUGGAGAUCUUGGACGUUGGCAUUUACCUGAUGGGUCUCUGAGUGAAUCUCCAGAUAUAGAGUCGAAGCCUAAGCCUGAAAUUCUUAAGCAGGUUAAACAGGAAGGAGGCUCUGAUGGAAAUGGCCUUAAAGUUGGAUUGAAGAAGAACAGGGACGGAUUGUGGGAAAUCAGCAAACCUGAAGACCAGACAUUUUCAUCUGGAAAUAGAUUGAGAGAAAAUUUUGGUCAGGAUGUCAUUCCAAUGAGCAGCAGUGCCACUGGAAGUGGCAAAGAAGGUGAAGAUCGCAGUGUUAAUCAGGAUGGUAAUGGGAACCUUGAAUUCUCGAACAAUGCAUUUGAUCUUGAGGCCAUCUCUCUUAAUAUUGACCCACCAUAUGGUUUUGGCAACGGAAAUCCGUCAAUACCAGCAGGAGAUGCUGAAGUUAUUGUACUAAGUGAUUCUGAUGAAGAGAAUGAGCCAAUUAUCCCAUCUGGAGCUGUCUUUAAUAACAACCAUAGUGAUGCACCUGUAGUUUCUUUUCCAGCUCAACCACUAGGAAUUCCGGAUUCUUUUCAUGAUUCUGCGCUUGUUAACGGUGGGAAUUCAUGCCUGGGGCUGUUCAAUUCUAAUGACGAUGAAUUUGGGAUGAACUUGUGGUCUUUGCCUUCUGGAACCCAAGGUGGCCCUGGUUUUCAGUUAUUUAGUUCUGAUGCUGAUGUUUCAGGAUCUUUAGUAGAUGUGCAACAUGAAUCUAUUAACUGUACCAGUUCUAUGAGUGGGUACGGGUUGGGUGCAGAGAGUGGCAUUGGAUCUGCUUCUCUUCUUCCUGAAACAUACACCGAUCGCCCUAAUGCUGAUAUAAAUGAUAGUUUAGUUGAUAAUCCCCUUGGAUUUAGUGGCAAUGAUCCCUCACUUCAAAUAUUUCUUCCUACUAGACCAUCAAUUACGUCAGUCGAGGCUGCGAGGGAUCAGCCUGAUGUUUCAAAUGGCGUUGGUACUGAGGAUUGGAUCUCACUUAGGCUUGGUGGUGAUGGAGGGGUUCCUGGUGAUACUGCAGUUGCAAAUGGGUUAAGCUCUGGGCAGCAAGUACAAACUAAAGACACUGCGUUGGACUCAUUGGCUGACACUGGAGCAGAUUCCAUGGUGGCAGAACAAUGAUUACUGUUGCUAAGCAAAGACAUUGGAUAUGACGAGAUGAGGUUGCUAGUGAACACAAAUUGGUCAACAAGAAACUAUCUUCUCACAUCUGUGCUGGCGACGUAGGAGUUUUCUUAGUGGACCAAUCUUAUUUUUUUUCUCUUCCGUUUCCGGAUGGAAUACUUGGAAGGUGACUCGCUGGUGAACUGUAAAUUUUGGACAGCUUAGCUCAGGACAAGAUCUUCUAGUAACGUCCACUGGUAAAUCCGGAGGGGGAGGCAUUUUAGCGCUUUGAGAUCUCCUCUUGCCAUUUGUGAAGCCAGUAGCCUGUAAAUCGGUUUAAUUAAACUAACUUACAAAAAUGUAUAAUGUUUUGAAUGUGUUUAACCGUUAAUGGACCUUUUAAGGUCGGGCUCAAUAUCCUGAUAAUUUUGGUGCGAAGGAAGGUGGUAAAAGGAAUAGUGAUAGACUCUUUGAUUUCGGUUCUUUAUUUUUAGUUGAUGCAUUUAGAAUAGGUAAGGAUUGUGGAACCCGUGAUAAGAGCUUGUUCUAUGAUAAUGUCCUGUAGGUGGCGGGGUAUUUUGCGUAACCCUUGUUUGUCUCAGUUGUCUAUAAUUGCUACUACAAGUUUUUCCUU